UCAGAAUUAAUUCUCAUGUCAGCAGAAAGCUCAACCAUCACAGUUCGUCUUGUUCGCUCUUUUGAACACCGGAACUUCAGGCCUGUGGUGUAUCACGGGGUUAACUUGGAUCAGACAGUAAAGCAGUUCAUUACCUUUGUGCAGAAGGAUGUGCCUUCAAGAACAGGACUUCCUCCUCCUUUCAAAAAUUACAAAUAUGAUACAAUGAAGAUUAUUCACCAAGCACACAAAUCUAAGACUGGUGAACUUGUAGUGAGUUUGGAAGAUGAUGACAAACUGAUUUUGAAAGAAGACAGUACGCUGAAAGCAGCUGGAGUAGGCAUAAGAGACAAUGCAGUUCAGGAGAGAGACUGAUGAUAGUGCCAAAUGCUGAAUUAGAAACGACAUUGUCCAGAGCUGCCUUCUUUCAAAAAGCAAAUGAGACUGAAUUAGCAUUCUUCUGUGAAGAAGAUUACAGAAACUACAAAGCUAAUCCUGUUUCGGCCUGGUGAAGAUCCCAAGGGAUUGUUUUGUUUUCCCAUACCUGUUGUAAAUUUUCCUUAUUCUGCUUAAUGAGAUUUUUCUUAAAGAUCAAUAAAUCCUAGAGGAUUGCUUUGC
Antrostomus carolinensis (chuck-will's-widow) is the source of this 597-nucleotide RNA transcript. It is a transcript of the gene named chromosome unknown C2orf76 homolog, with no coding region annotated. NCBI's taxonomy places the organism in Eukaryota, Metazoa, Chordata, Aves, Caprimulgiformes, Caprimulgidae. The transcript is spliced from 6 exons. The record is from RefSeq and is a predicted model, not a curated record.